UUCAAUUCUUUCACGUUAAACUUCCAGCGGUUACGUCCACUCAUUGUCUCCACGGUUACGAAACUGAUUUAUCAUUCAGCAACCACUUCCAAUCUUCUUCUUCUACAUCGGUUUCACAAAACCGUUUCUCUUUCAAAUGCUAUUCUCUCCCUUUUCCCAUUAUCAAUCGCAUCGCUUCAUAAUCAUACCUUCUUAAUCAAAUUUGUUUUCUGAAUUCUUCAAUAUUCAUGAAAUUACCUGCACAAUUUCAUUUUCCUAAUCGAUCGACGAUUUUUCGUUGUUUAUUCGUGUUUUCAUUUUCAUUCUACGCCAUUCCGAGUUCGUCUUCCUCUGCACGCAAAUCUGCUACUCUCGGUGAUAGAAUCGGUUUGUGCUAUGUCGUCAAGAAUCGUUUAACUUCUUCUGAUGAGUUGAUGAUCGCUUACUGUCUCGUGGAAAUUUUCAACCUGUGCGAUUUUCACCAUGCUGUUAACAACUUGCCAUCAGAUGCCUUUCUGUUUGAUAUGGAUGCACGCUCUCUCUCUCUUCCAGUUGAGAAUAAGGCAUUUUCCUGUUCAGAAGAAGGCAUUGACAAUUCUUAGAUGAUUGAUUUGCAGAUGCAACAAUUUCAGAUGUUUUGAGUGAACGAGUAUUGUAUUCUUGGCAAGGUAAAUAUAUUGAGAACACGGAGGGAUCUACAAUCGCUAAACAUUGGAAUUUCAUUAUUGUGGGAUAAACAUGUUGUAACAUCAUCUACCGGUGGAGUGGUAAUAUCUAUAUUACAUCCCAAAUACCAAUAUAUUUUCAUUCAUUCUAAUCUGCAUCCUGCGUUCCUCCCGUUGUUUAUUUCAAGGUAAACAAAACACUGGGGCCAUUUUCCACGGGUUUCCCAAUAUUGAUCAUACUUAAGCCUUUGCGAGAAAGGAUAUCAUAUGAUGGCUUCAGUUUCUACGCCAUAAAGUAGGCUUUCAGGAUUUUCAUUUUGAUUUUGCAAAAGGCUAUUCACCAAAAUAUGUGAAAGAAUUAUCAACUACCAGGCUGAGUUAGUUCAUAUACCAGCCUCAUUGGAUCCUCAGAUACCGCUACCGUCUAAAGACUGUCCAAUUUGUGAUGCAACGAAGACUGUCCAAUUUGUGAUGCAACGGUUGGAGUUGUUAGGCACCACUAACAGUUUGAUGCCAGGCAGGAGUUGUUACAACAUCCUUAACUGGUGUUGUUGUUGUACUACAUAUGGUGCAUUGCUAUACUACAUAUGCCUAUGGAUCAACCAAAAAAGCUGCACUUCAGAUGUUGGUAAGCUGGAUAGAAGGGAACCUGAAUGAGACAAGCUCUUAACUUCUAUGUAAAUUGAUACAAACAUGUCAAGAUUAAAAUAAAAAACAUCCUUAGUGAUCCCAACUUUUUUGUGUACGACUUUAUGUAUUAAAAUCAACAACCGUCGUUGCCUCUGUUUUUGUUUAACUAUACUGAUAGGAUGUUUUUGGGUUCGUAGCAUCAAGAAGCAUAUGUCAAACGAAGAGGUAUGUUUCUGUCUGCAUUCACAUGUCAAACUGAAAAGUCUUACUAAAUAUAUGAUGGAGUUUAUUAUGGAUUUACAUGCUUAACGUGAAGUGAAUUAUGUGAAGUGAAUCUAUAUUCCAAACUCAUAUGAACAAGUUUGAUAGAGCGAAAGCUAACCCUUCCUAUUAGUUUUGAUGUGAUCCUGUUGCUUUGGACAAUAAGUCAUAUAUUUCUUCUGAUCCAUUGGCUGUAGAAAGAAAUAUUGUUGUCCAUGGACAGAUAAUUCUGCAACUGUUAGCAGACUCUUUGCAACACUCUAUUACCUUCAAUAAACGACAACGACUUUGUUGAUGAAUCUGUCAAAGAAUUCUAUUGCACUUCAGCUUUAAUGGCUGGCACAC
Vicia villosa (hairy vetch) is the source of this 1880-nucleotide long non-coding RNA. RefSeq lists it as uncharacterized. The record is from RefSeq and is a predicted model, not a curated record. NCBI's taxonomy places the organism in Eukaryota, Viridiplantae, Streptophyta, Magnoliopsida, Fabales, Fabaceae. The transcript is spliced from 5 exons.